UGAAAAUAAUACUCUAUCCGUUCAUAUCUAGCGUUUAAAUGUUCGUCUUAUUUGAAAUUUUUUUAUGAUUAGUAUUUUUGUUGUUAUUAGAUCAUAAAACUUGAAUAGCACUUUAUGUGCGACUAUUUCUUUUUUAAAAAUUUUUUUUAUAAAAUUUUCAAAUAAGACGAACGGUCAAACGUGGACACGGAUUCUCAUGACUGCACUUAUU
Oryza sativa Japonica Group (Japanese rice) is the source of this 211-nucleotide microRNA precursor. It matches the Rfam family "MIR812 microRNA precursor family". The record is from Rfam. Lineage: Eukaryota; Viridiplantae; Streptophyta; Magnoliopsida; Poales; Poaceae.